CCGCCGACGCUGCCUGCCAGCGGGCUUCAUGCCUGCCGUGAUGACCAUUAGUGUCUGGCUGCGGCUGCGGGAGAUAACAGGUGAUUUAGGGCCCUGCACCUUGACACAGCCAGAGAGAAAUAGCCAGCUGCUGCUUAUCUCACUCUUUGCCAUCCUCCACUCACUUUUACAUUAGGCUCCCCUAUUCAAAGCCAUCUGUCUUGCCGCUCAGGCUUCGAUAAAACCACUUCCAGAGAGGGCGUUCUUAUAGCGUCUUACCAUUUCGGAGCAACAGACGGAGGCGGUGCCAGCGGAAUGCUUUCUCCGCACUGAAUAAGAGCCCGGGGUGACGCAACGGGGGCUCGACGACAGGGGUUGCGCUCGCAAAGCUGCUGUACAUGAUGCAUGUGGUCCAUUACUUCCUCACCUCCGAAGCACAAGCAUUAAUCCUCCAUCUCCAGAUUCUGCGUUGCGUCUGUCACCAACAUCCAAGUUAAGUGGCGCCUCCUCCUCCUCCUCCUCCUCCCAGCAUAUUGAGACACAACCAACCAGGCUCCCAGGUGGCUCCAGGAUUAGGUUUAUGAUGCUGCUUCAUGGCUCAUCAGUCCAAGAGAAUGUGGCUCUGAGAUCUGUAUAAUUCGUGAGUAAUUCCGCAUCACAGUGAUUUGUCACACUGUCUUGUAGAUUGAGACAAGACACUUAAAUGCUGUCCUUAUGCAAACUGCAGAUGUGUUGCUGUGGUGAGGUGCGGCACCCACGUACAUUCAUACAUACAUUGCUCCUUUAAGCAGUCUUCCCCAGACAUGCAGUACUUAUCCAAACUUUCUCAACCCAAAGUGGAUAACGGGAGUUUUUACGUGGUCAACAAUUUUCACAUAGCGAAGCUUUUUAUCUUCAAGCACGCUCACGAUUUCAUUUCGUGUUUGUUGAAAUACAUUCAUUUAUAAAACAUUCAUAGGCAAGACCCCACACUAUCUUCGCUGUCCACUAACCAUGCAUACCACCACCCACCCUCACGCAGCAGUUUUAUUAAACUCUUUGUCUCCAAAGACCAAACUACUUUUGGUCGAUCUUCUUUUCAAAUUUCUGCCCCAAACAACUGGAACACUCUAAAACAAAUAAUACAACUCACCUCAUUUAUGCCAAUAUCAUUGUUCAGGGUUUCACCUGUUUUU
Phycodurus eques (leafy seadragon) is the source of this 1154-nucleotide long non-coding RNA. RefSeq lists it as uncharacterized. Lineage: Eukaryota; Metazoa; Chordata; Actinopteri; Syngnathiformes; Syngnathidae. The transcript is spliced from 3 exons. The record is from RefSeq and is a predicted model, not a curated record.